UACUACUAUCCUGACUUCUCACCCAAUAAACUCUCCCUCCCACUACUCCGCUGACACCGCCGAUCAUCGUAACAGGACCUCGAAUCGAGAGCCAGAAUUUGAUAACUGGAAAUUGAAAUUCAAAAGAAAAUGGGGUGGACCGUUGAGUAUUGGGGAUGACGAGUAGAGAGAGAAAUUUAUCGAGCUCUUCGUGGUGGUGGUUCGCAGAAGGGGAUUGUGUAUGCGCCAGCUCAGAUAAUGCGAAUUUUUAGGACAUUCAUUUGACAAAAUUACACACACAUCCCUCAAGAUUUUAGAUUAUUACAUCACAACCCCUGAUAUUCAAACAAUUACACGAUGACCUCCGCUUAAGAAGGAGUAAAAAUAAUUUGCAAUCAACAAAUUUCACCCUUUUGUUAGCUAAUAAUUGUAUGGUUUCCUCAUUUCUUCAUUUUUUCAACGAAAAAUAAACUGAAUUAUUACUUUUCCUCGAUCUUCCUCAUUGCAAUAUGAUUAAAGAAAUUUAGGAUUGCCACGGACUCAUUCUUCUAGUUUGUUAUAUUUAGCCCUUUUGACAAUCGUCAAAAUAAAAUAAAUAAAUACAUAAUUCAAACUUAUUUUCAACUACACAUUUUUAUAAUAAAAUAUUUUGCAGACAAACAAAAAAAUAUUUCUUACUUUUUAACCAUACAUUUUCCAAAAAAAAAAAAUCAUUAUUCCAAAACUCAUUUACCAUAAAAAAAUAAAAACUCAUUUUAAUUGUUGUCAAACGGGUCUUAGAUAGGUAACGAGAAAUGUCAAUAUUAUUUCAUUGUAGACUCUCGUACCAUAAAGUUACGAAACGAAUGUUGACAACAUUGCGCAAAUAUGAAAAUUAGUCUAAUGCUAUGCAAAAUGAAUGUUGUGUCUACUUAGGAUGUAUUUGAACUCCAUUUUCGUUGAAAAUAUAUUUUGAUAUAGUGAAUUUUUUGGCAGAAUAUAUGAUUAAAAAGUAAGAAUUUUUUUUCAUUUACAUGUAUAAUAUUUUAUUGUGAAAAUAUAUCGAAAAUGAGUUUUUGGAUAAUGGGAUCAAAAAGGUUUAUUCAAACUUCCUCACAAUCCAAAAAAAAUACACAAUUCAAAAGUGUUCUAUAUAGUAAAUGCAAGAAAUACCAGAGAAAUUCAAGAAUUAUUCUUGACAAUCUUUUUUUCUUAAAUGAGAAACCAAGGGUAACGGUAAGGAUGACUUAUUUGUCAACUUUUUUUCGGGGACUUUCUUAAAGAUGAAUCCCAUGUAAAUACCUUGAAAUAAGGUUUGUUUCUAUUUGAGAAGAUCCUAAGGAAAAAGGAUUUUGUUUCUACUGAGCUAAAAAACCAGCUGCCUUCAUGAGCAAAUCAAAAUAAAAUGACCUCGAAUCUAUUAAAUGUUUCAAACUUUGAUUUGAUAUUUACAGCACCAUAUUGAGUUUGGAGGUGUUGAAGAUAUCAAAAUAUUGGUACUUAGUGAUUUGAUGAGUUAAUAUAGUAGUUUUUUUUAUUGUUCUAUGCAUUAAAUCAUUAAUCGUCACAUGUAUGCAACAUAUGACUAUUAAGAUAGUGAGUUACUGCAAAUAGCAUUAUUCAAUUAAAAUAAAAUGAAGUAAGUUAAUUUUAUCUAUACCAUCAAUAUGUAAACGUACACAAUUAUUUACAAGUAGCAUUAUUCUUUAUUAGACAAUCUUCCUUUUUUAGAGCUAGAUUGAAAUUCUAUAUUACGGUUUUCUAGUAAGAGCUACACAAAGUUUUAUACUCAAUUUCUAAUUCUAACAAUAAUACCGUGCAGCUAGAUCAUUUUUGGAAGACGAGAAGAGUAACGAGAAUCCUUACAGGUAAUCGAAACAGGGUUCUCCAGGAAAAUCAAUAACUAACCAAAACCACAACAAUAUUUGUUUCAGCGAGGAGGGGAUUCAUAUGGUUAUGGUACAAACACCUGUCGCCACCAUGAAAAUAAACGAGGAGUGGAAGUUUCCGGCCGGGAUUGGCAGUUCCGGCCAGCAGGUAGAGUGGAGCAGAUGUAGCAAAAUCCGGUGAAAUCUUGACGACUUCGGAUUGAACCUCAGUUUCUAAAUUUGUUGAUGCAGGAACAAUAUGUGUUCCAGCACUUCUUCCGACAAUUGUCAUUUAAUGUUCGUUUCAAUGUGGAAAAAUGAUGGAGUAUUUCAGUUAAAUUUGUAACCAUUGGUAUUGAAAACCAAAGGAAAAUGGUUUUUGGACUCGUAAGCAAUGUCUAGCAUCAGUCGGAUCGGUCAAAUAUUUCAAUACUCGAAGUCACUCGAGUAUUUCAUAAACGGGACCGUUCUAGUUUACAUAAUUACUGAAUCCGAACCCAAAUUGAAAUCGAAUAUUUUUUUAUAAAACCUUGAGCUAACAACACAAAUAAAUUCAAUAUCUAGAAGAAAUAAAAUAUAUCAUCAAAUACAUAUUUCAACACUAUUUUAUCCACUCCAAAAAGGCCACCAUAUGCAUCCAACAUCUAGCAUAAUAGCAUCCAAGUUCGACUUUGAUUGUGUAUGAUGUCUUGAAGAAUUAAUUGUGGGGCGUACAACCUAUAAAGUGAGAUAAAGAGUGGCUACGAAUAACGGUGGUGUGAUUCAUUAUUCAAAUGAAUGCAUAUUAUUGUUCUUUCUACUUGAGUCUUAUAAACUUGCUACACAUUAGGCUUAGUAAUUGUGUCGUGGGUGUAAGACAUAAAAUGAAGACGAAAGAAGAACUGUCAAAUAUGCAAGUUUGGACGCUCUGACGCUCAAGUUAGAAAACAAGUGCAAAACCUAUAUGCUUAGAGUGGUCUAAGAAGUGAGUUUUCUAAAAUUGAUUCCCAACCUCACUUUGUUUUGAUUGAAUAUGUUUAUUUUACUCAUAGACUAACUUAUUCAUAUAUUCACACAUUCCAAUCAACAAAUUCAUACAUGUUACAUACUAUAAAGAGAUACCAGUGAAAUUCAAGAAUUACUCUUUAACAAUUUCUUUUAAAAUUUCCGUUCAACACCAAAUUAUUACAAGCUACGGAACUAGCAGCCCAUACGAGCACCUCGAGCUAUUGCUCCGCAAAUAAGACAUACACAAUAUAUGAAGCAACUUGUCGCAAAUAAGACAUACACAAUAUAACACGACUUGACAAUACAACAGACGAGAGUUUUAGCUUCUUUUUUCUUCUCUCAAUAUUACGACUACUGAUUAAUGAAAGAAGCCACUCUUUUCAGCAUAGCCUUGCCAUUUUCACUGUUAGGGAAAAGCACACUAAAUACAUGGUUCUCCCCUUUUACAUCUACAAUAUCUACCUCUCCAUUCCACCCACAUUUCUUCAAUGCUUCCUUGUAAUGAUAACCUCGUUCCUUAAGAAUAUCUUCUUCUGCAACAUAAAUAAGCACUUUUUUGCACCCCAGUUUUGAAAGAUUCAAAUCCAUGGAAGGAUUUAUCAAAGGGUCAUCUAAACCUGUAGCGCUUGGAAAAGAAAAAGCCCAAAAAUUAUCAACAUAACUCUUCUUAAAUACUAAGGAUGUCCCUUCGUUCCCAAUUGAAUCUUUACCCCAAAAAAAUGGACAGUUGAGAAAAAUUCCAUCUAGAUUGAUCCCAGGCAACUUCUCUUGACCAAAUCUUAUGGCCAUGUUGUGAGCUAUGUUGGCUCCAGCACUGUCUCCACCAAAGUAAACAUGAUUAAAAUCAGCAUUUUCUUGAAUCCAAUGCUCAUGUCCAUCACCUGUGGAUUCAGAUGCCACACAUUUUAGUUGAAGCCAAGAAUCUUGAUAAGCAUGAGACAAUAUAAAGAAUCUUUUACGGACUGCUUUGAGGGAUUAUGAAUUGAUCAAUUAUGAGUGAUUUUAGUAGCGAUUUUUAGUAAAGUUUAAUCUACGAUUAGGAGUUUAUUAUCCACUUGUUGUAGAAACUUUUUAAAUGAAUAAAAUUAAUAUAUGUCCAUUAUUGAAAUUUUAGAUUUAUAAUUUCUUGUAUGAAAUUUUUUCACUAAUAAGUGAUUCUACUUGUAUAUGUAUUUUUUUACAUAUAAGCUAAUAUUUAAUUUAAAAAGUUAUAUAUUUAAUUAAAAAUUUUUACUUUUAAGUAAACUUUAUAAUUAUAAGUUAAUUUGUACUUCUAAAUAAUUUUGCUCAUAAGUGAAUUUUUACCUAUAAGUAACUUCUUAUAUUUAUAAUUGAAUUUUUUUCUUAUUAAUAAUAUUUUUAUUUCAUAAACAACUUUUUUACGCAAAAGUAAUUUUUCUUAUCUAUUUUAUUUAUAGGUAAUUUUUUUAAUUAUAAUUUUUUUUUUUGCUCAUAAAUAAUUUUUGUUAGUACAUUUUAGUUUUGAACAAAAAUAUGUUUAUUGAAAAUAAAAUGACAAAAUUAGAAAAAUAUAAGGAACCUUAAAAAAAAACCAACCGAUUUUAUGGGUCAAGAGAAUCGAUCAAAAUUACACAAUACCGAUCUAAAAUCGGUGCCAAAAAAAUGAAUCCGAUCCUCCCCUAGAUAGGAUUUGUUGUGGACUCAAUUUUAAUAAAUAAAUUUGCUUUUUUUCUAAACUUUUAAUAUAUUAUACUCACCCGUGGACUGAGAUGCCACCCACUUCAGUGCAAGCCAAGAAUCUUCAUAAGCAAUCGGAACGGGGUGCUCGGGGGCUAAUCGAUAGCCCACAGAAACUGCGACAACAUUGGCUUCGGCGACGAGUGAAUUUAGGUGGUUUUGGUACGUAGAAGAGGAGGGUGAUUCCGCCACAAAGCCACCACCGUGAAAAUAGACAAGAAGUGGAAGUUUCUGGCCGGGAUCGAUGUUUCCCGGCAGGUAAAGCCUAGCAGAUACAUCAUGUUCCGGUGAAAUCACGACGUCUUUGGACCGAACCCCAGUUUCUGAAUCUACUGAUGCAGGAACAAUAUCUAUUCCUACAAAUCUUUCGACUUUUCCGUCUUUGUAUACUCGGAUCAUUGGAUGAAAAUCGUGAAGAAUUUCUGUUGAAUUUGCAGCCAUUGCUAAGCAAGAUAAGGAAUUUAAGAGUGAAAGAAUUAUUGGAGGAAAAAUCUAUGCCUAUGUGCAUCAAAAUUUGGACUUAAAAAUGUGCCCGGUAUUGACGGCUUACUUUGAAUUAAGCGACGGUGAAAUGUAGGAGUAAUUUUUUAAUUAAAAAUCUUUCAGAUAACACAUGGCGCGAUAUCAUCGAAAUAUGGAAGAAAAGAAAAAAAAUAUUUCACUUACAUUUUGUCUUGUCAAUUUCAUUGCAAGUUGUGUUAAAUUUUUCAGUACUUAUCGCUUUAUUGUGAAAUGUACAGACAAUAUUACAGAUAAUGAAUUGACAAUACUGUAUUAAUUAGUUUAAUUAUAUUUUUUGUCCAACAUCGAAUGAAAUUUUAACAGUUGACGAUCCGUCAAAAAAAAUGUCAAAUAUUUCUGUAUACGUAGUCGCAUUUCUGGCUUGUUCUUGUCUUUCUAGGAGCAUUCUUCAAUAAGCUCACUAAUUCCUGUUUGAACCAAACUUCAUCCAAUAAAAUAAUUUCACAUAAAUUCAAAAAAAAAAAUUUACUUUUUAAUCAUGCAUCCUUUAAAAAAUCAUUAUUAGAAAAUCUAUUUCCCCAAAAAAUAAGGUUCAAGCAUAGCCUUAAUAAAUGUAUAUUUUUUAAAAAUAUAUAAAAAUAAUAAUAAAUUUGUAGAGACGAUAGGUUAUUUGGAUGGUGUGGAUUUUCAAUUGAAGGAGAAAUUGAAUUACUUUUAUUUCCCGUAUAUUAAGUGUUUUCAGUGAUAACAUUAAAAAUAUAUAAAAUAUGUAUUGAAUUUUAUGUUGUUUUAAAAAAUACUAAACAAAACAAAUUUUAAUAUUUUAUAAAACAGAAAACAACUUGAAAUUAUCCGUCCCAGAAUUGCCUUCCCCUGCCCCAAGUUGUAACAGGGCAAGGACGGAAAACAUGGUCUCCAUUCUAAAUAUUUUUAUUUACUUUUAUAAUUCUAAAUUUAAAUUGUAUUUUAAAAAAUUGAAAUUAUAUUAAAAUUUUGAAACGGGGUGUGUGUUAUUUAUUGUGAAUUGUAUUAGAUUCAUGUUAAAAGUUAUAUUUGACCAUCGAUAUUUAAGCAUGUAAAGUUGAUGUGUGAAAGUGAUUCUAUACAAUGAAAUUAUUGUAUCGGCUUAUGUCAAUUGAGACCUACAUGACAUGCAAAAUUGUAACAUAUAUAUUAUAUGACCUUAUUUAUGUGACAUGUGAACUUGUGACUUGUUAAUGUGACCUCAAUAGUUUAUGCUUGACGUCGAGAUCCAACUAAUUGGAUUCUUAAGAACAUGAGUUUCUUUUCUCAUUUAAAAGAGUUAACAUUGUGAUGUUCUUCCUCUCUCACAUUUAUGGUGAAGAAUGUAAUUGAAGUGUUUUUUCUCUUUCACAAUGACGGUGAAGAAGGAAAAUUUCUCUUUACAAAUAAUAUUGAAACGGCAAGAAUCUCAUUUUGUAUAAUUUGAUAUAUAUAUAUAUAUAUAUAUAUAUAUAUAUAUAUAGUAUUAUUGGAUUUUGUACGAAAAUCUGUUAUUUGUUUUUUAUUAUUCCUCAAGAUACACUUUAAAAUAAAAAAAGAGCAUUGCUGAAGAGGCUCUUAUAAUUUCAACCAAACAAUUUAUAUGAUUAAUAAGUACGAGUCACUUAUUAACUAUUCAUUUCAAUUAUCAUAUAAUUUCAUCAACUUAUAAUAAAACUCAAACAAAACAGCGUAAAUAAAUUACUACAUUUUUCAGAUUUUAAUUUUAAUUCAUUUUUAGGAAAUUAAUACUCUGAGGGUUUUAGUUGAGAUAUCAAUAAAAUAGUUGGUGAAUAAAAAACAUCACGAGGGCUUUGCUCAAAUAUUGCUUUGACUAUGUUUAUAUUUUACGUGGAAAUCAAAGUCACCACAACUAAAAAAAAAAAAAAAAAAAUUGGAUUCAUUAUAUUAAUUAAAUAUUAGAGGGUGUUUGGAAGUGAUUUUUCACUCCCUAAAAUUUAAUUUUUUUACCAUUAUUUCACUAAUUCCGCAGUAAAGUUUGAUUUCUUCUCUCACAGGUGACUUCCACUUUUCUCCUAACGGUUAAAAAAUCAAUUCUCAAAAUCGCUCCCAAACGAGGCCUAAAUGUUGGAACUCAUUAGCCAAUAGUUAAUGCUAUGGACAAAAAAAAAAAAAAACCACAUGUACUGGAAAAAUGUCUUAUAGAAGUUUUUCGGAUGCUGUGUUCGCAACAUUUGAUUGGAUCUUCUUCUUUUUUUGCGUUUUUUUAUCAUGAACAAAUGAAAAAUCGUUAACUGGAUAUCUGUAAAAAAAAAAAAAUUGCGAAGUAAAAUCUGUACACCUAGCAUUGUUCGCUUGAUGACCACCUUAAUCAAAAUCACAUUACUUAAUCAAAAUUACAUCACAACUCUGGGGCGUAUAAUUAAUAUUCGGUCGAUCAAAGAUUUCAUUCCAACGACAAUAGAAAGAAGAAUUAAAGAAACAACUGAAAGAAACGUAACAAAAUUUAGAUGUGGCAAAUCAAGAAGGAAAGCUAUAGACACUAUGAUCCAUCACCAUGAAUAAAGAAGAAAAUUUCUACUAUCACUUCGAAAUUACACUUGCCUUUCAAUCCUGCGGUGGAUUUAAGGUCUGUGCCCAGGCCAGCAAAGGCCAAUUCAUUCUUACAAUUUUUUCAUGGAAGAAUACAUAAGUCAAUUCUUAACUAUACUCUAAUUCAAUUUUAAGAGAAAAUAUUUAAAAAUUCAAAACUCAGGCGGUAAUUAAUAAAUAUUGUGUAUAAAAUAAAUUUUAAUAAAUAUACACCUCAAAUAAUGCUUUCAAUUACCAUACUCUCCAAAAAAACAAAUGAUAACAAAUCUGGAAGCAACAAAGACCUUUCUGGAGUAAAUUACCAUCGUCAAAAUAUGAUGGUUUGAAAUCAUCAAAAUAUUGAAGUCACAAUUUGAAAAUUAUCAGAACAUCAAACAAAAAGUGAAUCUACAGAAAAUUCAUCUCGUCAAAAUCUUAGAGAUGUCAAACAGGCUGAGCAGCUAGUUGGCCAGGUCCCUCGACUCAGAAAAACAGGGCUCAUGGGCAGCUUGGGCUCGUAAUUUUACGAGCCCAAGCAUGAGCAGAGUGGUUGGCCCGUUUGGCGAGUCAAACCGGCUCGACUCGCUAAUGGAUGAACCGCUUGUGGGCACGAGUCCACGAGCUUGGCUCUUGGUUCGUCAUGAACAAUGAUCGAAAAUGAUCACUUUUUUGGAAAAAAAAAUGAUUGUUUCGAUCACUGAACUUUUAACUGUGGCUAGAAUGGCCACUAAAUUUUUGGCUUUUUUCUUUAUAAACACCCAUGAACUAACUCAUUUUUUCACACAAUAUCUAUCAACAACUCUCUCUCUCUCUCUCUCUCUCUCUCUCUCUCUCUCUCGCUCUCUUCCACAAUUAUCAACAAUUAUACGAUAUAGAUUCAUUUUUACAAUUCCAUCAUCUUCAAUUUCAAUCAUUCAAUUCUCACACUACAAAUUCACAAUCUUAAGCACAUUAUAGUUCUACCCGUACUCUUUACUCAAGUCUUAGAAGCUAUAUCAUCUAUCUAUACAUUUUUAAUUUCAUCACAACUCACAAAUGGAUCCACACUAAUUUGUUAAGGGCUUGUUUGGUGUCGGAGGCGAAUCACAUGUGACGCCGCAAAAUCAAUAUCAGAAUCAAUUUUCGGUCUAAAUGAAGUACUAAUUCCUAAAAAAUAUUUCAAAUUUGUUUGCACAUAGAAGAAUAAUCCAAUUGAUUCAUAUAACGUUGAUGUUACUGAAGCUGAACAGGAGGAGGAACCUGAAUUAGACAUUUUUUAUGUUAGAGGGAAGCAAAAGGGGGAAAACGGACAAAAUGUUAGGAUCACUUCAAAUUGAUUUCAAUGGGUCGUGUUAUCGAUGGAGUCCUAAGUCCCAGAGUCUACAGUAAUAUAUAAAUACUUUCAACAACAAUUGGCAUGGUAAAAAGGCAUUGGUACCACACACCUCAACUGUCAUUACAAAAAGUGUGCGGUCAAACAUGGACUUCUUGAAGUUGGUCAAACACAAUUGUAAUUUAGUAGUCCAGGAAUCGGUUCUACGACUUCGUCCCUCACCACGUGGAUGUAUUCGGAAGAGAAUGCUCGAACGAAAAUAGUGAAACUUGUUGCUGGUGCUGAGUUGCCUCUACCAAUAGCGAAUAACCAACAUUUCGUCUCGUAUGUAAAAAACCCUUCAACCGAAGUACGUUGGGGUAGGUUGAAACACUCUUUGUUCAGAUACAAUAGAAUAUUUCCUUCAAACAAAACAACAAUUAAUUAUGGAUUUGCAAAACUAUAGGGGUGUUAUAUCAUUAACUUUGGAUAUAUGAGAGAUGAUUAAUAAAAGAGUUUAUAUAACUGCAACUGCACACUACAUAGACUCACUUUGGUGUAUGUAUAAAAAAUUAUUGCUUUUAAAAUUAUUGAAUUCCCUCAUAACCCAACAAUAUAUAUAAUGCUCUUAUGAUCAUUAUUAGAGAUUAUCACUGUGAAAGUAAAAUUCGUUCUUUUACAUUCGACGACGCUAGUGCUAAUAAAGUAGUUAUCGAUAAGUAUUACAGCUUGAUUUUGGUUGUUAUUUGUUUCAUAUUCGUUGUGUAUGCCAUAUUUUAAAUUCAAUUAUGCAAGAUGAUUUGAAACAUAUUAAAGAUGAAAUGCAAAGAAUUAGGAAUAUGCUAAUAUAUAUCACAAUCUCUCCUAAUAAAAAACAAGCAUUAGAGGAAUUUUAUGUCAAAUCUAGGGUGAUGAAUGCUAAAACAUUUGUUAGCAACAUAGAUCAUGGAUAGUACUCCACUCACUUAUUAUUAAAGUCAUGCAAAUAUUUUGAACAUUUAAUAACCGAGUUUUAUAACAAUAGGCAUAUUUGAAACUAUAACGACACUAUUUUGAAUGAAUCCGAUUGACUUUUAGAUUUAAAAGUUAAAAAAAAUUGACAAAUUUUUAUGAUUCUGCAAAUAUUUUAUAUGGAAUUUACUAUUGCACUAAAUGUAUGGUGCUCGAACGUUUUUAUAUAAUUGUAAGGACAUUUCAUAAAUAGAAAAAUGAUCCGAUAUUAGUGCAAUUAUAUAUUUUAUGAAAUUAAAGUUUAGAAAAUUUUGAAAAGACUUACCUAUAUUAUUUCCUUUAACAUGCAUGCAUCAUAGACCCCCCAAUAUAAUUUAUCAGAAACUAAAUAUUUAAUUGAUCAAAUUUCAAGAGCUUAAACUUUUAAUGUACCUAUCAUGUAUAGAAAUUUAGAAUAAACUUUAUAUGAAAUGUAUGAAUUAUAUGCAGAAUGAAUAGGUACAAAUAUUAAUCGAGUAUCCUCUACAUCUACUUCUUCCACUGACAUUAAAAAAAUAACGCUGAAAUAUUAACUUUAUUUGAAAGCAUUAAUACGUAUAGAUAUAAUGCAAAUGCAAUAUGUUCAUCUAGUAAUACUUUGUAUUCUGCUUGUAAUCAAACAUCGGAAGCAAGUUCAAAUAUAUUGCUUCCUAAAUUAAUUAAUUACUUUAAUCAUAAUAUGUCUACCAAUAAAAACAAUUAAAAAAAGUUCCGAAAAGAUUUUCAAAUUCUGGUGAAGGUAUGAACGACGAUGGGCAGUAAUUUUUGCAAUUGCAAAAAACUUACUUACACAUCCGAUUAGCACUGUAGCUUUGAAGUCUGUAGUUAGUGCACGUAAGAGGAUUUUGCCCGUGGACAGGAGCCAACUUAAAGAAGAUAUUUUGAAAGCAUUAAUGUGCGUGAAGAAUUGACAUGACACUCAUUUUCGACCACAAGAUAAGUAUGUUAAAAUUACAUGACAUCGGGUAAGUGAUAUUUAAUUUAAUAUAUUAAUCAAAAUUUGUUAUUUUAUAAUACUAUUUUCAAUUUUCUUUUAAAAAUUGUACAUUUUACAAGUUGUUCGUAUAUAAUUUCUAACUCUACAUACUCAAAAUUUAAGUCGUUUGUUCCAAAUCCGGAUAAAGGGGAAGAGUUUAUAUUUUAUCUAUUUAAAAAAAAUUCAUGAGCUCUCAAGCCCAAACUCGACUCGACCCACGAGCCGAGCUCAUCCCUCGAGUAACGAGCCCAACUUCUGCUCGACUCGUGGGUAGCAGCCCAUUGCUAUCCCUACAAAAUCCUAUUACUAAAAUUCCAUCGAACGAUUGAGGUCAAAAAUGGAAAGUUGUCAACAUAGUAUAUCGGAAGAUCAAACAAAAAGAAAAUCUACAGAGAGACAUGUAAGAGCAUAAAUCUUUGAUUCCCACAGUCAUAAUCUGAUUAACUAAAACCUAUCAGACAAUUGAAGUCCAAAAUUGAAAGUUGUCGACAUUGUGUAUAAGAAGAUCAAACAAGGAAAGAAUAUAUAGAGAACUCACCAGAGCAAAAUAACUUCAAUUCUCACCGACGAAAUCUUGUUGAUUGAAUUUAUGAUCAAUUUGGAGAACUCGAAUCGGAGAAAUCAAUGGCAUGUGAUCAGUUCUCUUAAAUUUGUGACCUUUAACCUAUGUACUAUGUACCAUGUACCAUGACAUGUGACAUGUAAAUUGUUAUAUGCAAUAUUGAUCCAAUGGUCUAUGACCGGUUCUAUUCUUAGCUAUUAAUUCUAAAUUAACUAACAUUCACGUUAAUUCAUUUAUUGUAUUUGUCAUUCGUCUUCAUUGAUGCAUUUAGUUGUAAUUCUAAUACUCACAUUUAAGUGCAUUUUACUAUUUACUUACAUGUAUAAUAAUUAGCCUUUUAUUUUCAAAUACUUGCAUUUCUCUCAUAGUUAGAUCAAAAUGGUGGAUGAAGAGUUAAAUAUUACUCACUGUACAAGUUAGAAACAUAAGUGCAAAAACUAUAUGCUUAGAGUGGUCUAAGAAGUUAGUUUUUCUAAAAUUGAUUCCCAGCCUCACUUUAUUUUGAUUGAAUCUGUUUAUUUUACUCGUAGACUAAUUUAUUCAUACAAUCACACGUUCCAAUCAACGAAUUCAUACAAGUUACAACAUACUAUAAAGAGAUACUAGUGGAUUCAAGAAUUACUCUUUAACAAUUUCAUUUAAAAUUUCCGUUCAACACCAAAUUAUUACAAGCUACUAAACUAGCAGCCCAUACAAGCAACUCGAGCUACUGCUCCGCAAAUAAGACAUACACAACAUAUGAAGCAACUUGUCGCAAAUAACACAUACACAAUAUAAGACACGACUUGACAGUACAACAUACGAGAGUUUUAACUCUUUUUUCCUUCUCUUGAUAUUACGACUACUGAUUAAUGAAAGAAGCCACUCUUUUCAGCAUAGCCUUCCCAUUUUCACUGUUAGGGAAAAGCACACUGAAUACAUGGUUCUCCCCUUUUACAUCCACAAUAUCUACCUCUCCAUCCCACCCACAUUUUGUCAAUGCUUCCUUGUAGUGAUAACCGCGUUCUUUAAGAAUAUCUUCUUCUGCAACAUAAAUAAGCACUUUUUUGCACCCCAGUUUUGAAAGAUUCAAAUCCAUGGAAGGAUUUAUCGAAGGGUCAUCUAAACCUGUAGCCUUUGGAAAAGAAAAAGCCCAUAAAUCAUCCACAUAACUCUUCUUAAAUACUAAGGAUGUCCCUUCCUUCCCAAUUGGAUCUUUACCCCAAAAAUAUGGACAGUUGAGAAAAAUUCCAUCUAGAUUGAUCCCAGGCAACUUCUCUUGACCAAAUCUUAUGGCCAUGUUGUGUGCUAUGUUGGCUCCAGCACUGUCUCCACCAAAGUAGACAUGAUUAAAAUCAGCAUUUUCUUGAACCCAUUGCUCAUGUCCUUCACCUGUGGAUUCAGAUGCCACACAUUUUAGUUCAAGCCAAGCAUCUUCAUAAGCAAGAGACAAUUUAAAGAAUCUUUCAGGGACUGCUUGGGGAGAUUUUUUAAAGUAACGGAUUUGAGCGUUUAUGAAUGGAUCGAUUUUGAGUGAUUUUAGUAGCAAUUUUAAAAACAGUCUACUCCACGAUUAGGAGUUUAUUAUCCAUCGAUUCUAGAAACAUUUUAAAAGAAUAAAAUUAAUAUAUAUCCAUUAGUGAAAUUUUCGGUUUAUAAUUUCUUGUAUGAAAUUUUUUUACUAAUAAGUGAUUUAAAAAGUUAUUUAUUUAAUUAAAAUUUUAAAUUAAUAUUUUUUACUUUUUAGUAAACUUUAUAAUUAUAAGUUAAUUUGUACUUCUAAAUAAUUUUUACACAUAAUUGAAUUUUUACCUAUAAGUAACUUCUUAUAUUUUAUGAGUGAAUUUUUUUCUUAUUAUUUUUUUUAAUUAAAGUUUUUUUUUUGCUUAUAAAUAAUUUUUCUUAGUAUAUUUUAUUUAAAUUUAGUUUUGAUCAAAAUCUGUUGAUUGAAAAUAAUUAUUUUAUAAAUGAUAAAAUUAGAAAAAUAUAAGAAACCGUAAAAAAAAAAAAAACCACCGAUUUUAUGGGUCAAGAGAACCGAUGAAAAUUACACUAUACUGAUCUAAAAUCGGUGCCAAAAAAUAUGAAUCCAAUCCUUCCCUAGAUAGGAUUUGUUGUUGACUCAAUUUUAAUAAAUAAAUUUGCUUUUUUUCUAAACUUUUAAUAUAUUAUACUCACCCGUGGACUGAGACGCCACCCACUUCAGUGCAAGCCAAGAAUCUUCAUAAGCAAUCGGAACAGGGUGCUCGGGGGCUAAUCGAUAGCCCACAGAAACUGCGACAACAUUGGCUUCGGCGACGAGUGAAUUCAGGUGGUUUUGGUACGUAGAAGAGGAGGGUGAUUCCGCCACAAAGCCACCACCGUGAAAAUAGACAAGAAGUGGAAGUUUCUGGCCGGGAUCGAUGUUUCCCGGGAGGUAAAGCCUAGCAGAUACAUCAUGUUCCGGUGAAAUCACGACGUCUUUGGACUGAACCCCAGUUUCUGAAUCUACUGAUGCAGGAACAAUAUCUAGUCCUACAAAUCUUUCGACUUUUCCAUCUUUGUAUACUCGGACCAUUGGAUGA
Molecule: long non-coding RNA, 13870 nt
Filed under: Olea europaea (common olive)
Lineage: Eukaryota; Viridiplantae; Streptophyta; Magnoliopsida; Lamiales; Oleaceae
Description: long non-coding RNA (OEUR_LNC006151)
Source: RNAcentral